RNAcentral lists this ribosomal RNA (884 nucleotides) under Enterobacter hormaechei. RNAcentral describes it as "partial 23S ribosomal RNA". It matches the Rfam family "Bacterial large subunit ribosomal RNA", at positions 323 to 1212 of the family's 2925-position model. The record is from RNAcentral. RNAcentral also lists the same sequence under 2 other names. Lineage: Bacteria; Pseudomonadati; Pseudomonadota; Gammaproteobacteria; Enterobacterales; Enterobacteriaceae.
UGUGUGUUAGUGGAACGGUCUGGAAAGUCCGACGGUACAGGGUGAUAGUCCCGUACACGAAAAUGCACAUGCUGUGAACUCGAAGAGUAGGGCGGGACACGUGGUAUCCUGUCUGAAUAUGGGGGGACCAUCCUCCAAGGCUAAAUACUCCUGACUGACCGAUAGUGAACCAGUACCGUGAGGGAAAGGCGAAAAGAACCCCGGCGAGGGGAGUGAAAAAGAACCUGAAACCGUGUACGUACAAGCAGUGGGAGCCUCUUUAUGGGGUGACUGCGUACCUUUUGUAUAAUGGGUCAGCGACUUAUAUUCUGUAGCAAGGUUAACCGUAUAGGGGAGCCGAAGGGAAACCGAGUCUUAACUGGGCGUUAAGUUGCAGGGUAUAGACCCGAAACCCGGUGAUCUAGCCAUGGGCAGGUUGAAGGUUGGGUAACACUAACUGGAGGACCGAACCGACUAAUGUUGAAAAAUUAGCGGAUGACCUGUGGCUGGGGGUGAAAGGCCAAUCAAACCGGGAGAUAGCUGGUUCUCCCCGAAAGCUAUUUAGGUAGCGCCUCGUGAACUCAUCUUCGGGGGUAGAGCACUGUUUCGGCUAGGGGGCCAUCCCGGCUUACCAACCCGAUGCAAACUACGAAUACCGAAGAAUGUUAUCACGGGAGACACACGGCGGGUGCUAACGUCCGUCGUGAAGAGGGAAACAACCCAGACCGCCAGCUAAGGUCCCAAAGUCAUGGUUAAGUGGGAAACGAUGUGGGAAGGCACAGACAGCCAGGAUGUUGGCUUAGAAGCAGCCAUCAUUUAAAGAAAGCGUAAUAGCUCACUGGUCGAGUCGGCCUGCGCGGAAGAUGUAACGGGGCUAAACCAUGCACCGAAGCUGCGGCAGCGAC